ACGUGGAAACAUCGGUUCCCGUACGAUUAUCGAAGUUAAGAAACGUCAAGCCUGGUCAGUACCUAAAUGGGUGACUGCUUGGGAAUAACAGGUACUGUU
Acanthosepion pharaonis is the source of this 99-nucleotide non-coding RNA. The record is from the annotation of a GenBank genome assembly. Lineage: Eukaryota; Metazoa; Mollusca; Cephalopoda; Sepiida; Sepiidae.